Molecule: ribosomal RNA, 117 nt
Filed under: Paenactinomyces guangxiensis
Lineage: Bacteria; Bacillati; Bacillota; Bacilli; Caryophanales; Thermoactinomycetaceae
Source: RNAcentral
UCUGGUGACAAUGGCGGAGGGGAUCCACUCGUUCCCAUCCCGAACACGACCGUUAAGCCCUCCAGCGCCGAUGGUACUUGGGGCGAAGGCUCCCGGGAGAGUAGGACGUUGCCAGGC